RNAcentral lists this long non-coding RNA (1058 nucleotides) under Sorghum bicolor (sorghum). RNAcentral describes it as "long non-coding RNA (SBIC_LNC017214)". Lineage: Eukaryota; Viridiplantae; Streptophyta; Magnoliopsida; Poales; Poaceae. The record is from RNAcentral.
ACAUAACAUCUUCAACGUCACAGUCGCACCGUGCUCAUCCAGCACGUUAGGAACAAGACCACAUGAAGCUCCCGCUGACACUUUCGUCUCCACGUACAGUGGCGGAGGGAAGGGGGGGCUGAGGGGGGCCUGGCACCCCCCAACCUUCCCAUAACUCCCUUAAUACAUCCCAUAAAUUAGAUGCUGAAUUGUCUAAUUAACUAGUUAUUAAUAAUAUUAUCUAUACUAAGAUUUUUAUUCUUAUUUCAUAUUAAUCUCUAAUAGUUUUUUAUACAAAUAAAAUCUAGAUCUUUCUAAUAUUUUCUUCAUAUCUUUUAUUUUUAUUAUUGUCUAUCAAACAUUAGUUUGUCCCGUACUACAUACUCUAAUUAGCUAGUUAAUUAAAAAUCAGUGUUUUUCUUGUUUAAUCCUUCUGAAUUGAUCCCCAACAAUAGAAUCUAUAUUAUUUAGCAUUAGUCUUCCUAUUAUCUUUCUUAUCUCCUAAGUUUUUAUCAUUAUUUGUCUAAACUCUAAACGGUUAUUUAGCUCGUGUACUCAACUUUUAAACACUAACAGUGGUAUGGUGUUUCUGUUUAACCUUCUAUUUUUGACCAUUUUACCCGUUUAAGUGAUCAUCUUGGCUGAGGCUAAACGAUAUGCAACUGAUUGUUUGUCAUCCAAUGUUAGGAUCUAGUGCUAAUUAAUUUUGCCCCUGUUUAACUACUUGUUUUAUUGUGGUUCUUUUCCUGGCCAAAGAAAUAGAUUGAUUAGGUGAAGGUUAGAGGCCUGAGACUAAUUAAUUUAUCUUUAUUUUUUUAGUUUUUCUUCUUGUUUUUAUCGUGACGCAAACGUUUAUUUUGCUGCUAUGUACACCUUUGUCAUGUAAUAUUUUGAUAUACAUAACUGUUCUUGGUUUGCACGGCCCCCCCUAUGUUUAAAUUCUAGCUCCGCCCCUGUCCAGGUAGAACCCGGCCACACGCCGCUGCCGUUCGUACUAGCUGAAACAUGGUGAGCACUUACACGAACCUUCUCACCAUUCAUGUUCUAUGUAUGUUAUACAAUCCAAUCUUCUGUUUCUA